Molecule: ribosomal RNA, 277 nt
Filed under: Bacillus anthracis (anthrax bacterium)
Lineage: Bacteria; Bacillati; Bacillota; Bacilli; Caryophanales; Bacillaceae
Description: partial 16S ribosomal RNA
Rfam family: Bacterial small subunit ribosomal RNA
Source: RNAcentral
UGCCGGUGACAAACCGGAGGAAGGUGGGGAUGACGUCAAAUCAUCAUGCCCCUUAUGACCUGGGCUACACACGUGCUACAAUGGACGGUACAAAGAGCUGCAAGACCGCGAGGUGGAGCUAAUCUCAUAAAACCGUUCUCAGUUCGGAUUGUAGGCUGCAACUCGCCUACAUGAAGCUGGAAUCGCUAGUAAUCGCGGAUCAGCAUGCCGCGGUGAAUACGUUCCCGGGCCUUGUACACACCGCCCGUCACACCACGAGAGUUUGUAACACCCGAAG